Mya arenaria is the source of this 2710-nucleotide long non-coding RNA. RefSeq lists it as uncharacterized. Lineage: Eukaryota; Metazoa; Mollusca; Bivalvia; Myida; Myidae. The record is from RefSeq and is a predicted model, not a curated record. The transcript is spliced from 3 exons.
AACAAUAAAAUGUGUGUUUCUCUUACUAUGUUUAUAUUUAAUUAAAUUCUUUACAAGUAUGCUGCAAGAGUAAAGCAUAUAUACUACAAUUAAAUAAAUAUUUGUUCAUUUGUUUUCAUUGUUUGAAUAUUUGUUCAUAGAUAGAUUGGUUUUGAAGACACCAAUACUAACAUAUCUAAUCUAAUGGCUUUUGACAAUAGUGCGUUUUAAGUUAUUGUCGCUUAUUCAUAAACAAAAACCAUGAAUAUCUUUUUUAUAAUUGCUAUAAAUAAUUAGCAAAUAACUUAAUAAAGACAAGUAUAAAGUAAAAAUGGACAAAAGUGCAAUAGUUUUCGGAAUAUGAAAUGGACGUAGCAUAUAUUCGGUUAUGGAGGUAUUAGUUAAAAAGAAAGUCCUGUUUGUUCACUUACAUUCACUGAAAGGUCAAGACUAAAUAUUAAAACGUGUGUAACCAGUUAAUUUGUCAUGAAUAGUUUGCAAACCGACAUACACGCCUACUAAACGCAAGCUCAUACGUCUUCAUAUUAUCGGUGGUGCAAAUUAAAUGAGCUGGAAAUACUCCCACGGUGCAGCUCUGGCUUUUGUGUUUUGUACACACUGAGAUAUAAAGCCAUAUCAUACAUUCAUGUCAUUCAAAUUCAGCCACUCAGAGAGAUGGAAAGGAUUGCAAAGCUGAGUUUUACUUUCAGUUUUACUCUCACCUGACUUAUGCAGAUACAGUAACCUACUUGUAUGUUCAAAUUGUAUAUUUUUUUUCUAUCAAAAAUAUAAUAUGGUCCUUUAUGAGGAAUUAGUUGGAAAGAAAAGAUAAAUUAUAGAUAUCAUAAAAGUAAUUUGACAUACAAAAAGUGGACAAAAAAGUUGAACAGAAUGAAGUUUUGAAUUAGAAAAUCCCUACUUAUCUCUGUAUGUAUGUUAACCGUAUUAUGAUCAUAUGUGAAAACAUGAUGUAUUCCCUUAACUAAUUGUGUUAAAACCUUUUUACACUGUAUGUUUACAUUUUUACAUGUAUAUUGCCAUAUGCACUGAAUUCAUGUAGUUGCUUUUGUAUACAUGUGUAUUGAAAUCAAAACAUUCCUUUGUUAUAUCUUUAGGUUUAAGAAAAAAGGCCAAAAAAUUCCAACAUGGAGCCUUACUAAAUCAACUUGGUGUAAUUUGACAAUUAAAAUUCUUCAGAAUUCGACGGUGGUUGUACCAUGCAGCAGUCAUACUACGAAGUGUCUCAGAGAUUUUUUUUCUAAAUUCUGCAAUAUUGAGGUACAGUUUAGCGCAAAGAGGAUUAAUCUUCUGACAGUUAGAAGUAAAUGUUCUUUUAAAUUAACAUUAACCGUUCCUGCAUUUUGAUUUAUUAUAGAGUGAAUAUGUUUCCAUAUUAAAUGUUGUCUUUUAUGUGUAAAUUUCACAUGCUAUAAAUGGUUACAAAUACAUGAACGCACAUUUUGUUUCUUAAUAUAUGCACGUUUUGAUUCCAAUAAUUAAACACUCAAGCGUAUUAAAUUUGUUUCCUGUUGUUUGUUUCUAAACAAUUAGUAGUAUGUAUUCGUGUUGAUAGUUACCAUGUCAAUUCAGAAAAUGAGUAAAUUUUUAAACAGUUACCAUGGUAGCCAGAGUCUAGUGUUCUAGGGAAACUGUCAAUGUUGUCUUAAAUUUAUUUACCCUUAAAAUUUGAUGACAAUGUCAUUCUUAUAUUUAAUUGUUAAGAAUUGCUUAGUGGUUUUUAACAAUUGUCAGGAAAAUCAAUCCAAGAUAUACUUACAGAAUUUUCCUGUUUAAUAUAAAAUGAUGUUUCUUAGCAUUUUUUAUUUUUAUUGAAUGGUUACAAUAGCAACUAAUUUUUUGUUUGCCUUAAACCUUCCUAUUUAUAAUACUAUUCAUUGUGAAAAUGCAAAUGUUCAUCAGUGAAUGUAAGAAAAUAAAUGUUCUGUAACUUUUACUUUAUUGUUAGCUCAUGCUUCAAAAUAUGCGGCAUAUUUAAAAUUUCCUAAAAAUAACAAAAAUAAUUAUCGUGAAAUAUUCUGCUUAAAACAUUAUUUUAACUCUGAUUUUUAGAAAUUUGUAUUAAAUUUAUAGAAAAUAAAGAAAACAUUUUGUUUACAUUUCUUAUUUCAUUUAAAUUCAGAGGUUGUGAAUUUGACCUAUUUGGCAGAAAAAAAAUAUAAAAAUGUAAAAUUAAAAAAAGCCAUAAUUCUGUCAAACUAUGAUGGAUUUUUAAAAGAUAUGCAUAUUUGAGUUUGUAAUGACCAAACCUUUAAAAUGGUAUAUCACUUGACAAUACCACAUGAAAUUAUUUAUUUACGUUGUUAUUGCUAUCAAUAGUUUAUAUAGUGAAUAAUAUUUGAUAUUGUUUUCCUGUACGUUUAAUUAACAAAGAAUAAUGUAUUUAUUGCAACAACCAGAUUACUUAUUGCAAUGAGUUAUUUGUGACUGUCUAUAUGUGCAUUAAUAUAACCAUUUUUAAGAAUCUAUUAAAUCAAUUACAUAAUGGUUGAACUUUCGGACAGCCUUAAAACAAAUGCCUAUUUGUAACAAUAAUACUUUAAUAAAGUCCUAUAGACUUUCGAACGUCAGUUUAUAUACAUAUUUUUUCCCUUUCCAUAUCAUUUGAUUUUCAUGGGUUUGUAGUCACUGUAAGGGUUUUCAGAGAAACUUGCAACAAAUUGCGCUUCAACCAAAACAAAAUGAUGAAAAUAAUAACUAAAUUGCAAAGCGG